This 140-nucleotide microRNA precursor is filed under the name Chlorocebus sabaeus (green monkey). RNAcentral describes it as "miRNA (ENSCSAG00000025091.1)". The record is from RNAcentral. Lineage: Eukaryota; Metazoa; Chordata; Mammalia; Primates; Cercopithecidae.
CAGGAUGCCCAGUUACAUUUGAAUUUCAGAUAGAUAAUGAAUUUAUGUUUAGUAAGUAUACCCCAUACAAUAUUUGGGACAUACUUAAUCUAAAACUAUUCUUUGUUGUUUAUCUGAAAUUCAAAUUUAACUGGGCAUCC